AGAGGAGUAAAUAGGAUACCUCAUAUAAUCUUGGGAAUAAGGCCCAUAAGUUUCUACCUGACGACCAUUAAUCGUCGGACUAUGAGGGGGAAAGUCGUGUUC
The sequence is a non-coding RNA, 102 nucleotides long. It matches the Rfam family "Purine riboswitch aptamer". From Rfam's summary of the family: Riboswitches are metabolite binding domains within certain messenger RNAs that serve as precision sensors for their corresponding targets. Allosteric rearrangement of mRNA structure is mediated by ligand binding, and this results in modulation of gene expression. A class of riboswitches that selectively recognises guanine and becomes saturated at concentrations as low as 5 nM.